This 527-nucleotide ribosomal RNA is filed under the name uncultured Actinomycetes bacterium. RNAcentral describes it as "bacterial SSU rRNA". It matches the Rfam family "Bacterial small subunit ribosomal RNA", at positions 8 to 522 of the family's 1533-position model. Lineage: Bacteria; Bacillati; Actinomycetota; Actinomycetes. The record is from RNAcentral.
AGAGUUUGAUCCUGGCUCAGGACGAACGCUGGCGGCGCGCUUAACACAUGCAAGUCGAGCGAGAACCAGGGCUUCGGCUCUGGGGACAGCGGCGAACGGGUGAGUAACACGUGGAUAACCUGCCCUCGGCACCGGGAUAGCCCGGGGAAACUCGGAUUAAUACCGGAUAGCCCUUUCGGCUUUCGAGCCGGUCGGAAAAGGUAGCUUCGGCCUCUGGCCGAGGAUGGGUCCGCGGCGGAUUAGCUUGUUGGUGGGGUAAUGGCCUACCAAGGCACCGAUCCGUAGCUGGUCUGAGAGGACGAUCAGCCACACUGGGACUGAGACACGGCCCAGACUCCUACGGGAGGCAGCAGUGGGGAAUCUUGCGCAAUGGGCGAAAGCCUGACGCAGCGACGCCGCGUGAGGGAGGAAGGCCUUCGGGUUGUAAACCUCUUUCAGGAGGGACGAAGCUACUCGGGUGAAUAGCCCAGAGGGUGACGGUACCUCCAGAAGAAGCCCCGGCUAACUACGUGCCAGCAGCCGCGGUA